This 7156-nucleotide long non-coding RNA is filed under the name Homo sapiens (human). RNAcentral's name for it is "non-protein coding lnc-AKR1C2-3:17". Lineage: Eukaryota; Metazoa; Chordata; Mammalia; Primates; Hominidae. The record is from RNAcentral.
AAAGGCUAUGUAUUCUGAGCUCAUCUGGAUCAGAGGAGUCAGCACUGUCAUUUGUGUUUGGCAGAGACUGAAAGGCAGAUGUUCGUCUGAAGAUUUCAAAGCCCACUGCUGAUUUAAGGUCAUUCACAUUCAGCCAUGAAGCUGCUCUGAAGACACAGGAACUGCAUAGCUCCCUACUGGGAAUGUCAAGGGCUGUGAAAGGUCUAAGGUUUUAUCCUACUUGCAACCAACAAGCUAUGCAGCCACAGUUUUAUGGAUGCUGUCAAAAGACAUGACACUCCUGGGUAAGAGACGAAAGACUUUACCACUUGUGGUGUAGUAGCCAGCUGGAGCAUCUUGUGUUUUGAGUUAGUGCCAGUUGUCCCCUAAGUCCCACAGCAUGCAGUUUAGGCUGCUAACAACAGCAUGAGGGCAACCUGCUGUGGUGACCUAAGCUAUGACACCCCACCCCAAGUCCGGGAUGCAGCUAACUGAGCAAACUGCAUGAACUGGGAGGCGGCCGACCAUUGUUCACGCCUCUCCUUCGCGUAUGUGUUUUCUACUGUUCUUGCACUGUAAAGGCAGAGGUUGCAUCGGGCCCUUAUGCAAAGCCCCAAAUAAUUACUGGCUGACUCUUCUCAGGGAACAUUUGCUAACCCUGUCACAAGCCAUAAGGUUCCACCACAGAUUGCCCUGUGGCUCUCUCGUUACGUUUCUGUGUGGACGUUUCCACAUGGUCUGAGGCAUUCAUCCAAGAAGAGCAGGAUGUAUUAGUGACUGCACAGAUUCUGCCUUGGCCCACAAAGAGGACAUCCAGGGCAGUCCUGGUCAUCUGUAAUAACAUUGCCCAGUGAGUUGAGGCUGACCUGAGUACUGACUUGGGUUGAGUUGGUGUCACUGAUCACUUCAGCCAAAGAUGGGACAUUUCUUAGCACCUGUUCUGAUUGGCUGACUUCUAUGGUCAGGAUAACGGCUCUCAGGAUGCGUAUAACUGCCAAGUCUCUCCGGGAAGCUUCCCUGGGUUACCAAGGAAUCCUCAUGUCUGAGAGAGCUCCACCAUCAUCCAAGGGCCACACGGAGUUUCUUGCAAUGCUUCAAGGUCUCCUGUAAUAACUCCUAUGAUAGAAGUCACUGUGUUUUGGGGAGGUAGACUGCAGCAUGCAGUUUUGACAGCAUGACCAAGGUCAUUGUUCAGGUCUGAUUAUUCAAAUUCAAAAAACUGCAACCUCAGGCAUAAAAGAUUAAGGAUGGAGCCCAAGUCUCUGGGUCCCCAAGGGGGACUGAAGCACAUACUCACCCAUCUGAAUAUGCUGGAGAACAGGAAGGAGAGACUCAAGCUUGUCUGGGUCUGUUGGAUACAGACUCUCCCAUCUCCACCCCAUCAGGUCCUAUGGAGGCCCAAGUUCAGCUGAUGAAGUUAAGGGAGUGCUCAGUGCAGAAGGGUGGGAGGGCACUUGGGGCAUUUUGGGGUCCUGUUUUUGUUGCUUCUGCAUCUGAUACAGCAGGAAUUGAAGUAUUGCACACUUGUCCUUCCCAUUUCCAAGUGCUGCCUUCCCAUCAGUAAGAGCCACAGUUAGAGAGGGACCAACAGGAGGAUAACUCCCACAUGCUUAGCAUUCCAAUAAUGGAACACUAGGCAUAAAUUGAUAAGAUGCUUUCAAUGCAAUCAGUACUCUGCCAGGAUUCACUAAGUAGAGAAUGACUAAAUAUUUACCCAUCUCCUAACAAAAAUGCACAACUGAGGACAGAUGUUUUGCACUUUUAUGUGUCUACGGACUGUGUAAGAGGAUUUGGCUGGGUCAUCAUCUUCUUCUUCUUCUUAGACUGGUUGAUGGUGACCGUUCAUUGAUCCAAUAUGGUAAAGUCAUGUCCUGGUCUGUGUUCUUCGGGGUCCACAACCCUCUUUAACAGCCUGUUGUAAGGUUCUCGACCACGUCACUGUCUAGCUAAACCAUUCUGCAUUUCAGUAGGUAAACCAGCAGGAGGGCUUAAAAACCACAUUGCCCUGUCCACAUCCCUAUUUCUGAUUCUUUUCUGGCCUGCGAUCCUACAUCUCUAUCCUCACUUUAAACUGUUUUCCUCUUUUCUUCUCCUUUUUCCUGACCUCCUUUAUGUUUUUCAUUUCUCCUCCAUCUGAAUAUACCAAACCAUCCUUUUGCUUCCUCUUUUCUCUUCAUUAAUUAUUCUAGGGGCUAUUUUUUUUAUUAGGAAGAUGUAUUAUUUUAACAUGCUUUAUAAAGUUAGUGGCAUUAAGGAAUUAAUGUCCUUGGAAACUCAUACAUGUUCAGCUUCUAGAAACCCCUGAUUCCAAGGAGCAAAAACAUGCCAUCUCUGACAGUGUCCACAAGAACAAUACCAGAUCAGACGAUAAAGCCAACACACAGCAUAGCCAAUGGCCACACAUCCAGAAAACACUCUCAACAAAUUUAACCCUUCAGUAUUCACUGUAGCCAAUAUAUAUUCAAUAUAUAUAGCUGACUUUGUUUUUAUAUUUGAUGAAGUCCUGCUAUUUGAAAUAAAAUAAUCAAACCAACAACAACAACAACAAAAACCCCAUACAUGGUGAUAGCAUAUGUGAGGCAGUAGCAAUUUCUCCAUCUUUUCUGUCCUGUCUUUCCUGUUCUUCGUUCCCAUGCUAAGAAGGGAUGGAUAUAUCUCGGAGAUUACACAGGUUCUAGUCAAAGACUUCAUUGUGAACGUUUGUUUCACAUUUUCCCUGGAUAAGGACUAAUUAAAAGUUUGGAAAAGUAUACCUUUUUUUUUUUUUUUUUUUGCAAACUUACCCAUAUUAUGUGCUUUUUCUUGAUACAGCUGCUAAUCUUUGCUGUAUAUGUAGUGUUAGGAAGUCUACUUUAAUACACACACACACGUUUAAUGAGGUAAAAUAUGCAUAACAUAAUUACCAUUUUAACAAUUUUUAAGUGUAGAGUUCAGGGGCAAGUACGUUCAUGUUCUUGUGCAACUAUCACCACCAUUUUUUCUCCAGAACCCUUUUUAUCAUCUCAAACUGAAACUCUGCACCCACUGAACAAUAACUCCCCGUUCUCUCCUCCUCCUAGACCCUGGUAACCCCUCAUCUAUUUUCUGUCUCUGUGUAUUUGACUAUUCUAGGUACCACAUUAACGUGGACUUACACAGUAUUCGUCCUUUUGUGACUGGCUUAGUUUAUUUAGCAUAAGAUCCCCAAGGUUCAGCCGGGUGCCGUGGCUCAUGCCUGAAAUCCAAGCACUUUGGGAGGCCAAGGUGGGUGGAUCACCUGAGGUCAGGAGAUUGAGACCAGCCUGGCCAACACGGUGAAACCUCAUCUCUACUAAAAUACAAAAAUUAGCUGGGCCUGGUGGCGGGCGCCUGUAAUCCUAGCUACUAGGUAGGCUGAGGCAGGAGAUUAGCUUGAACCUGGGAGGCGGAGGUUGCAGUGAGCAGAGAUGGGACCACUCCACUCCAGCUUGGGCAACAGAGCAAGACCCUGUCUCAAAAAAAAAAAAUUCAAGGUUCAUCCAUGCUGUGGCAUGUGUCAUAAUUUCAUUUCUUCAUAUUCCUGAAAUACAUUUCUAAAUAUAAAUUUUUCAUUACUGUUUUCAUUUCAAGUUAAGUUUAUCAGAUCCUGUAGUCCAGGGACUUCAGUCUCUUUGAAUUAUGUCUUUCUUGGACAAUUUGGGAGCUCUUUUGAGAAACUGAAUACAAUUUGAAUACACUAAAAUCUGAAUCACACCAUAGAUAACGACAUAGUGUCUUAGUGAGAAGAAAUUUGAUUCUGCUGACUAGGAUACUAAAGUUUGACCUUUAUGGUCAUCUCUUAAUAAAAUAAAAGGAGAGCACUGGGCUAUUAAAUAGUUUAUUCAUGGAUCAUAGGGUGAAUAAGACCUAGAUCCUAGAGGAAAUCCUCCCCACAAAGACACUCAGACUUUUAUUCCUGUCAAUGUUCUUGUGGAUUUCAGGGAGCAAUGAUGGCUAUAAAUCUGCAACUCAUAGCAUUUCAGGCUAAACACAUUCAGCCUUUAUUACCAUUGUUCAUUUGACCUCUUUAUCCAAUUUUUUUCCCACCCACUUGCCAAUAUCACCUUGUUCUUAUGUAGGCUGUGUUUCAGCCAGCUUAAGCCUUACUAACAAAUGAGGUGAAAUCCAUCUGAGGAGGAAGCCGGGGCAUGGUGGAUUGAAAUAGCUUGCCUCAGGAGCAGAAAAUUUGGUGUGGAUCAAGAAAUAGAACUCCAAAGUAUACCUUUCCAGUCAUUGGCUUUAGCUGGAGCCAGCAUCCUUCAAUGAAUCAGUCAACAUUUACCUAUCUGUUCCCCACAGCAGUUUUGCAAAUCGCUUUCAGAAAUCAUUGAACCACUAACAGUUUAUCCACUCUGCAAAAUAUACACAGCUCUUCCCAUAUCCAGGAGGGUUAUCCCUUCUCAGCUGCGUUCAACACUUUUUACAACCCCUGAUUUCAAUAAGCAGAAUACAUCCACCUGCUUAGGGAAAUUACUCUUACCAUAUAAUUGCCUCUUAUGUUGAAAUGUCCAUGAGACCCUCUCAUGAAAUAGGGGACAAGAUAAAGCACAGAUUUUCCCCCAACUCAAACAUGCCUGUCUCAUACAUGUCAUGCCCUUGGAAAUGGCCAACACUGCUCUCUGCCUCCUGUUUAGGGUUAAGGCUUUCACUAUCUCUUGCCACCUCUGAUGAAAUUACUAACAAAUAUAUUAUCCUUACCCUUUGUCUUCUAUUCCAGCACUUCAAAUGCAUCAAAGGUCCAGAGAGAAGCUUCUUCUGGUCACCUUGAUCUUGUGAUGCAAGGCAGGUGGGAGCAAGGGCUCCACCUCUGCAGACACAGAGAUGACGGGGUCGCCAUGCCGGCGUUUUAGUCCCGGUUUCCUCUGCUCGAGUAGUUGGUGGCCUCCUGCCUGUUCCCUAACAUAACUUCACUUUCCUUACCUGCAAAACGAAAUUAGUAUUUCCUCCCUCACAAGGUUAUUUGCAACUUACCUGGCUAAGCUGAACUCCAGAAUUUGGACUAGAGGCUUCAGGAUGCUGGUGCAGUUCAAGUCUGGUCCACAUGUCUCCUCCUCCUUCGAGGGUCAUUGACUACUUUGUGUAUCUUCUUUUCAUGACAGUUCAUAUGAGUGCAAGAUGGCUCGAUAGACUUGCACACAAGUUUAAAGAUUUUUGUAUACACCUCAUUCCAUUGUUAAAGCAAGUUGCAUGGUCAAAUCUAACAUCUCUGGACAAGGACAUGCAUUCAUACCACUCUACUGCACUGCAAGCUCACGCAGAGGAGCAGAUCAUAAAACGUGAUUGAUGCAUGAUGAUGAUAAUGACCAACCUACCAUCAUGGACAUGACCGUAUGUUGAUACUAAGCCUCUUAGUAAAAUGAGCUAAAGAAACCAGAACUAUCUGCCUUCAGCUCAGCUGUCUGAUCAAAAACUUGAAAUCUGGAAACAGUGGUAUCUGGAAAACCUACUAAAAGUGGCUUUGGGAAAAUAUCAAUUAAUGUCAAUUUCAUUAAUUAUUCAGGGAAAUCCAAUCCAAAAUAUCAGAGAUGCUUACGUAGAAUUUGGAAAACUUUAAUUUUCACCAAAUACUCAUGUGCUUUGGGCUUACAGCAUAUGAAUUUUGGCAGAAGAGAAGUGAACCAGAAUAGAAGGAGGAGGGGAUAUUUAAUAAGAGAUUACAAAAAUGCUUUCUCUGGGUAAGAGAUGUGGUCUUCAUUUAAUGUUCAACUUAAAAAAAUAAAAAUUAUACCAUGGAAAAUGUGUGAUUUACAAGAUAUGUUAACAAGUAAUAAAACCUAAUAAGUGGAUUUGUAUUUUUUUAAGAGCAUAAAAAUAUCAGUUUGGCUAUUCAAAUGCAUUAGGCUGUUAUUUAGGUCCUCUUUUUCUUUAUGUGCCCAGUACUUUCAUCUUUAGACCUUACUAAUGCUAGAUGUCUUCUUGUCUUACUUGAUAGUUUUAUAUUAUAUUUUAUUCAGCCUAGUGAUGGGAAGAAUACGUUUACAAUAUGUUUACAUUGCACAUUAGUUUCUUGUCAUAUUUCCAGAGAUUGGAUAAUAACUGAUAACAAGAGACAGGGAGGUUUUCAGGAUUUUAAGUCCUUUUUUCUAGGACUUGCUUCUUUUUGAUAAAGCAGUCUCUACACUGGGUCUUUAUAUAGAGUACUUUUCUCUCUGUCCAUAAAUAGACUUGGUUAUAGGAGAAAUGGCGGAACAGUUUGAGAGUAUGGAGUUUCAAAGCAGAGCUCAUUAUUGAUGUUAAUAAUUUAUUAAUUUAUUAAACGUGGCAUGUGGAGUGCUGUUCUAAAUGCUUUCAUGCAUCGAUGCAUGAGGGUGCUGUGUGCAGUGAUGCCGGGUCACAUUGCCAGGAUCAUCCUCAAGGACUGAAUGACCCAUUUGCAGGAGUGUCAGGACAGUGGAUGCUGACUGAUCACAGCAAAGUCUGUCUCCAGGAAUAACCCCUGGCCGAGCAAGCAGCCUCACUCCCACUGGAGGCAUCCUUGAAGGGUCACGGGCCAGCACAGUUCCAGAAGUCCCCCUACAUUAGUAUUUAUAUUGUGUGAUUAAUUCAGCUACUUAUGUUGCAUUUAUAUUUAUGUUUUUUGAUUAUUGCUGUGUCUAUGUGUUUAUGUUUUUUGACUAUAAUAUUUAUGCUGUUUGUUUAAUUCUGUAUCAAUUAAAAAAAGGAAUGAAUUAAUGGCAUUCGCAGCAACCUGGAUGAGAUUGGAGGCUAUUAUAAAUGAAGUAACUCAUGAAAAGAAAACCAAACAUCAUAUAUUCUCACUCAUAAGUGGGAGCUAAGCUAUGAGAUGCAAAGGCAUAUGACUGACACAAUGGGCUUUGAGGACUCAAGGGAAAAGAGUAGGAAGGGAGUGAGGGAUAAAAUACUACAAAUUGUGUGCAGUGUAUACUGCUCAGGUGAUGGGUGCACCAAAAUCUCACAAACCACCACUAAAGAACUUGCUCAUGUAACCAAACACCAGCUGUUUCCCAAUAACCUAUGGAAAUAAAAAAAUUAAAAGAUUUAAUGAAAAAUAAGUCUAGAAGAAGUUCUUAACCCUUAGAGUCUUGUGGUCACAGACAUUUAGAUCCAUAUUUUUAUAUCAGCAAAAUAAUAUGGUGAUGAGCAAAGCACUUUGAAGCAUAGAAACAUUUACAUUAACAUAAAAUUAUAUGGAAGAAAUGGAAUAAUGUUUAUAUUCAAG